Molecule: long non-coding RNA, 2575 nt
Organism: Parus major (Great Tit)
Lineage: Eukaryota; Metazoa; Chordata; Aves; Passeriformes; Paridae
Source: Ensembl
AGGGAACAAAGAGCCCCGAGGUGUGACAAGGCCUCUCAAUGCUCUUUGACUGCUCCAAGCAGGAGACAAAUCCCAUGGGAUCAAUGAUUAACACAGGCCUGACAUCCCCCAAAGCACGGGGGACCCCUCCCCCCUUCCCUUCCCUCCCCAGUCCAGGCUGGAGGGGAACUGGUGGCAAUGACUCAGGUGGGUGCCUGAGGCUGAUUUUCCCUGCGGGGUUUUCCCACUCACCGUCUCAUCGUCAGGGAUGGGGAUCUUGCUGUCGAAGUAGGUGGUGAACGGCUCCCCCUCGUCGCUGUCGGGGGGCUGCAGGGGGCUCCUGCUGCUGGAGAUGGUGCUGACCACCCCCCCGAGACCCCCAGGCUCCCCAGACACAUCCUCUGCAGGGAGAGAGGGAACGGGGGCAGUCAGCAUUCCUGGAGAGGCAGAAACGCUGCCAGGGGCUGCUGAGCCCCACAGGCACAGCCAGCCAGCACAGCCGAUGCUAAUUAAGUGAUAAAGAGGUGAUUAAAUUAAAAUAUCCCACACUGCUGCACCCCUUGGAGCCUGUUGUGUCCCCAGAAUCUCCUCUCCCACCCGGCUCCAGGCGGGAGCCAGGGAUUUAUUUAUUUAUUCCAAUUAAUUUUAAAAAUCCCCAUCCCAGGGCUGAUGAGGACCAGUGUCCCCAAAAUGAUUAACUGGGCUGGCUCAGCCAGGUCCCAGGGAAAUCUGGGACUGCUCCUGCACCAUUAUCCCAUCCUCUCCUGGCUGGAUCCCGGGGAAAUCCAACACCUGGACACUCAGGAGAUGCCACACAACCCCACACCUCUCCCAGCACCCAGAGAGUUCCAGCAGCUCCCAAAUGUGAGCAGCGAGGAAAGAGUGCAGGGCCACCCCAGCACAUUCCCAGCCUCUCCUGCAGCCAAACCUGGAUCCCAACUCCCAGCCAAACCUGGAUCCCAACUGUCCUGCAGCAAAACCUGGAUCCCAACUCCCAGAAAAACCUGGAUCCCAACUCUCUCCUGCAGCCAAACCUGGAUCCCAACUCUCCUGCAGCCAAACCUGGAUCCCAACUCUCUCCUGCAGCCAAACCUGGAUCACAACUCCCAGAAAAACCUGGAUCCCAACUGUCCUGCAGCAAAACCUGGAUCCCAACUCCCCCCAGCCAAACCUGGAUCCCAACUCUCCCCAGAAAAACCUGGAUCCCAACUCUCCUGCAAGCCAAUCCUCCAUCCCAGCUCUCCCCAAGCCCGUACUCACUCCUGCUCUCCCCACAGGACAUUUCCUUCCCUCGGGACAUUUCCUUCCCUCGGGACAUUUCCUUCCCUCGGGACUUUUCCUUCCCUCGGGACUUUUCCUUCCCUCGGGAGCUGCAGCUCUGGGCUCAGGGGGCUCAGACAGGGCAGAUCUUUGCCCAACUUUCCUAUUGCAUCACCAGCGGGCUCCUCCCAUUCCCGGCCUCCCAGAACCCUGCCAGGACCUCGUUUACAUAAAGGAUUUGGAGCUGCCCAGGUGUGCGGAGAUCGCUGCUCAGGAGAUUUCUCCCAGGACAUUCCUGCCCGGGCCAGGCUGGUUUGGCUGGUUCAGGCAGGCUGAGUGACCCCGGGGUGCUGCAAACCUCAGCCUGGCACCCCGGGGCUCUUCCAGCAAGCCAAAGAAGGGAAUUAAUGAAAGGAAGGAGGGUGAUGAGGGCAGCCCCCCCUGCCCCCUUUCCUGAGCCAGUCUCACCGUAGGACGCCUUCCGCUCCGUGUCCAAGUUUCCCAUGGUGGAGCCCUUCCCCUGCUCUGGGAACUGCUUCAAACUGGACACAUUGGCUGUGAAAAAGGGAAAAAUCCGGUCAGGAUGGAAAACCAGGGCUGGCAGGAGAGGGGGAUAGAGACAAAGUCACUUCCCAGGCUCUAUUUCAGCUCUGAGGAACCUCACAGUGAUGGACUCAACGUCCUGAGCUCUUUUCCAGCUCUGAGGGUCUCAGCAGGGAUGGGAGAGGGAAUUUAGGCUGGGACCUGCUAAGAAAGUCCUGCUGCUCUGCCCAUGGGAGCCCUGAGGGGCACCAACGUGCCAGGAGUGUCCACAGGCAGCUGGGGCUGAUUGUGAAACUCCGGAGGAGGAAACACACGGGGAAUUCCCUCCAUGUGGAAACCUUCUCUCAUCCCCCCUUCCCAGCACCUCCAGCACUGCCAAAUCCUCCCCUGCGCCCCCCAAACCCCUCCAGCACUGCCAAAUCCUCCCCUGCGCCCCCCAAACCCCUCCAGCACUGCCAAAUCCUCCCCUGCGCCCCCCAAACCCCUCCAGCACUCCCCAAGGCCCUGCCAGCCCCCCAGGCAGGGGGAAGUGGGUUAAGGGCAGGUUUAACUCCUCUAUCACAGCCUGGGCUUAAAUUCAACCCAUGCAGGAUCUGGAAUGGGGCUGGGGAGGGAGCUGGGGACGAGGAGGGAGCUGGGGACGAGGAGGGAUUUGGCAUCCUCUGGGCUCCAGGAGCUCAACCCCCCUCCAAGGCCAAGCCAGUGUCCCUCAGUGAUGACUUCUGGCCUGUAAAGCACCGAAUCCUCUGUCAAAUUCCAUCAGAUUUGAGGGAGAUUACCAUAAAACACGGGA